This is a long non-coding RNA of Cercocebus atys (sooty mangabey), 284 nucleotides long. RefSeq lists it as uncharacterized. Lineage: Eukaryota; Metazoa; Chordata; Mammalia; Primates; Cercopithecidae. The transcript is spliced from 3 exons. The record is from RefSeq and is a predicted model, not a curated record.
UGGAACCCCAUCUCUACUAAAAAAUACAAAAUUAGCCGGAAGUGGUGGUGCAUCCCUUCCAAGGGAUUACAGAAAAGGCUCAGGUUAUUGAAUUCAUUGGAGAAUGCUGCUCUGAAUUUGUAUUUUAAGGGAAAUAUUACAGAAUGUCACAGAAGAUGUUGGUUGGAUAUCUAAAGUUCAAAAAGGAAGAGAACCACUUGAGCUGGAGAUUCAAGAAGCAUCAGUAGAAGUCAAUGGCCAUUAAUAAAAACAUUUUUUAUUAAAAUAUUGAAUCUGAAUAGAAA